Long non-coding RNA from Panicum virgatum (switchgrass), 1929 nucleotides. RefSeq lists it as uncharacterized. The transcript is spliced from 2 exons. Lineage: Eukaryota; Viridiplantae; Streptophyta; Magnoliopsida; Poales; Poaceae. The record is from RefSeq and is a predicted model, not a curated record.
UUUCCCAGUCAGAUUUAACCAUUCAAGAAGUGAUUAUAGUUAGAGUUAGGACGACAUUGCUAAUUGCUCUCAAAAGGAGUUCCAAAGUGUGGACUGAUAAUUUAGUCUGUGAGCUAAAUUGGGUUAGACUUAUCCAUUCAGAGAUCAAAUUAGACAAGAUGAUGAAACGAAUUCUUUAGGAAACUAAAGUCUCACGUGAUUUUAACUAUUAUCUAAGUGGUGUUAAGCAUCUGAUCUUUUAACUUUAACAAGCCUAUGCCAUUUUCUUUUCCCCUUCCUCCAUCCCCGCUGCCCCCGUCUCUCUUUCUCAUUAAAAUGCUUAUCUGAUAUCACUAAAAUGUAUAUUUAGCAUUUACCUAAAAUGCUUGUUAUUUUGUUCACUAACUGAUCGAGUAUCUGAUCUAGUACAGAUCCUUGUAAUAGAUUUACAUGCUCCAAAUGCUUUUUUAUAUAUAUUCUUUCCUAGGCUUUGGUUUUCAUAUAUGACUUGUCAAAGCUCUUAAGUUCUUUGUUUGCAUGCAUCCUAGUACUAGAAAGAUAGUGGGUUCAUUUUUACCAUCCUGUACAUGUACGAUUAUAAAGGAAGUAUUGUUUUAGCUUUGCUUUUUGCUUAUUAGUUCUUUUCCAUAGCACUGCUGGUGCUCAUUGCUGAUUCACAAGCCUUGGCACCAUCAUAUCUAGAAAUUAUAAUUUUAACUGUAUUUUUAACCUUUAAACUAAUGCCUUUCAUUCUUUUUCUUAUUUAGUUGUAGUUUAUGCAAUGACUAGAUGACAGGAGCGUCAACAAGGCACUAUGUAUCAUCUACCAUGGUACGUAUCACAAUACUAUCUGCAAAAUAUGUUGAAGGUUGUUAUGUGUCCUAGUAUUUUCUGCAAGGCAACUCUUUGUUGUAAGAUAAUUGUUGUGUGUAAUAACAUGUAUUUUAAAUGCCCCUAGAACCCUACAAUAUCUUUUAGUUUUGUUGCCUUUUUCUGUAUUCAGAUUAAAGGAUUAGAACAUUGGCCAAUAACAUGGAGUUUAUUUAGGCAAUUUAUAGGUAUGAAUUAGACAAUAAUAUUAUUAUAGAUGAGCAAUAAUAUGGUUCGCAAUAAGUAUUUUCCCAUAUAUAACAACAAAAAUAUUUAGGAAUUUUUUUAUUUAGGCUAUGAGUUGAGACUAUGCAUUUUUUUAGGCAACUUAUGCUAUAUCAACUAGCAUUUUUGGUAAAAAAUCAUAAGCAUUUUUAAUCUAAUUCUAGUUAAUCGUGCAAAUCAUAAGCAUUCCCUUGUAUAUGGCAGGUCACUAAGGUUGUAUGUUAGCUAAAUCAAUUAUGUUCCUUUAUGACCCAAGCUAUACGAGGAUUGGAAUUCAAUGCCGGAUUUUCAUCAUCGUAGCUUUGCUUUUUUUCAGUUGGAUUGGUGAAGAGAGUUGUCAAGAUCCAAUAAGAACUACACAUAAAACUACCUAAUUCUAGGUGGAGCUCGUUUAAAUCCAUUUUUUAAGUUCUAUAUCUCCCCUACACAACCAUUUAGCAAGUCUCGAGCCUGAUUAGAUAGCAGCACCAGGGCAUCAAAAGCAACUAAAUGUGAAUCAUUAGGCAAUAAUGUACCGUUAAGUAGGCAGAUCAUUAUUUUUCAGACGUUUCCUAUAUAUCAGCUUUUCCUAGUUUGUUCAGCAUCACAAUCAAUCUAAUGAAGCAUAUUUUAUCUGCAUUCAAUCAGGCUAUACAGCAGUGGAUUUACUUGUAUCAGGACUUCAGUUUUGCUAAGGUCCCCACCUCCUUCCUCCUUGCUAUGUUCCUCUUGUUCUAUUUGUUGCCAUGCGCUCACCAAGAGAAACAGGCAGUUUACAAUGCUCUUAUUAUAUGUCAAUUUUGGAGGGGUCACAAAACUGCAAGAAGUGCAUGCCCAUGUUAGUGAUUUCAGAAGCAAAAAUUCAUUUUUUUUAGU